GAGUGUUGCAUUGUUAUUUUUCGUCACUACCUCUACCUUCGGUAAAGGGGUAAUUUGCGUGCCUGCUGCCUUCCUUGGAUGUGGUAGCCGUUUCUAAGGCUCCCUCUCCGGAAUCGAACCCAGAUUCUCCGUUACCCGUUAACACCACUGUGAUCAAAUACACCACAGUCGACAGUUGAUAGGUCAUACUCUCACUGAAUUUGUUAUCUGGACAAGCCAAUAUAAUCGGAUAUUUCGUUCUGAGUCACUAUUCAACUCACAAGUGAGUUUGAUCUUUAGCUAACGAAUGCUUUCCUUCGUAAGUUGGAAAUUUGCAAUAUGUAUUAGCUCAAGAAUUACCUCAGUUAUCCAAUUAUUAUAACAUUCAAUAGAUUGUGUAUGUUGUAAUGAGCCAUUCGCGGUUUCACUUUAGCUUGUUAGUACUUGGACGUGCAUGGCUUAACCUUUGAGACGAGCAUAUGCUACUGGCAGGAUCAACC
Molecule: ribosomal RNA, 479 nt
Filed under: uncultured eukaryote
Lineage: Eukaryota
Description: partial 18S ribosomal RNA
Source: RNAcentral